This 413-nucleotide unclassified non-coding RNA is filed under the name fungal sp. RNAcentral describes it as "partial internal transcribed spacer region". The stretch from base 1 to 46 matches the Rfam family "Eukaryotic small subunit ribosomal RNA", at positions 1786 to 1831 of the family's 1831-position model. Lineage: Eukaryota; Fungi. The record is from RNAcentral.
AAGUCGUAACAAGGUUUCCGUAGGUGAACCUGCGGAAGGAUCAUUAACACGUAUCCACGUAUUAUAUACCCUUUAUCAACAACCCCUGUGAACCGUUCUCCCUGUCCUGGUCGAUCCGCUUUGCUGUCUGAUUUGGAUUGUAGUGGGCUGUGCAGUUGCUACGCAAGUGGUGGCUGUAUGGCACAUCCGGUCGGGCUAUCGCUCCUCGAGAGUGUGGCUUAGCAUACUGACUGACAGGCUACUUAACACUUACUGUGACCCAACCACUUUGGGAAGCGGCGAGGAGCCCAUACCAAUUUCACCCUAUUUUACCCAUUUGACUAAUUAUUAACAUUCUUCGGGAGAAAUCCUGUUUGAAUUCUAAGAUUUAUCUUAACUAAGCACAACUCUUAGCAAUGGAUAUCUUGGUUCUC